Molecule: non-coding RNA, 370 nt
Filed under: Pan troglodytes (chimpanzee)
Lineage: Eukaryota; Metazoa; Chordata; Mammalia; Primates; Hominidae
Also listed under: 1 other name
Source: RNAcentral
UAUCUCUCACAAGAAUACUCAACCAACUGCUUAUACAUCUAUGGAUUCUAUAUAUAUUAUCCUAUGUUGGUGGUAAUUCUCUGCAUUGCUACUUAUUUUAGUUUGGGAACCCGUUGUUUGAAUCUGCUCGGUUUCCAGCAGUUUAUGGGAGAUGAUGAUAUGACAUCAGACUUAGUUAAUGAAGGAAAAGAAUUAAUCAGAAAAGAGAAGAGAAAAAGGCAAAGGCAAGAAGAAGGUGAAAAUCGAAGAAGAGAAUGGAAAGAACGUUAUGGACACAAUAGAGAAGAUUCCACUAGGAACAGAAAUAUUCAUACUGACCCCAAAGAGUCAAACUUCUCAGAUGUUAAUACCAACCGUUGUAAGUAGUUUA